This 319-nucleotide ribosomal RNA is filed under the name uncultured soil bacterium. Its description in RNAcentral is "bacterial SSU rRNA". It matches the Rfam family "Bacterial small subunit ribosomal RNA", at positions 26 to 373 of the family's 1533-position model. The record is from RNAcentral.
AGAACGAACGCUGGCGGCAUGCCUAAUACAUGCAAGUCGAACGAGAUCUUCGGGUCUAGUGGCGCACGGGUGCGUAACGCGUGGGAAUCUACCCUUGGGUUCGGAAUAACAGUUGGAAACGACUGCUAAUACCGGAUGAUGACGAAAGUCCAAAGAUUUAUCGCCCAGGGAUGAGCCCGCGUAGGAUUAGCUAGUUGGUGAGGUAAAGGCUCACCAAGGCUACGAUCCUUAGCUGGUCUGAGAGGAUGAUCAGCCACACUGGGACUGAGACACGGCCCAGACUCCUACGGGAGGCAGCAGUAGGGAAUAUUGGACAAGU